UGUUAGCAUCACCAUGGUCUGAAGGAGAGAUACAACAUGUUAGCAUCACCAUGGUCUGAAGGAGAGAUACAACAUGUUAGCAUCACCAUGGUCUGAAGGUAGAGAUACAACAUGUUAGCAUCACCAUGGUCUGAAGGUAGAGAUACAACAUGUUAGCAUCACCAUGGCCUGAAGGAGAGAUACAACAUGUUAGCAUCACCAUGGUCUGAAGGAGAGAUACAACAUGUUAGCAUCACCAUGGUCUGAAGGAGAGAUACAACAUGUUAGCAUCACCAUGGAUACAACAUGUUAGCAUCACCAUGGCCUGAAGGAGAGAUACAAAAUGUUAGCAUCACCAUGGUCUGAAGGGAGAGAGACAACAUGUUAGCAUCACCAUGGUCUGAAGGUAGAGAUACAACAUGUUAGCAUCACCAUGGUCUGAAGGAGAGAUACAACAUGUUAGCAUCACCAUGGUCUGAAGGUAGAGAUACAACAUGUUAGCAUCACCAUGGUCUGAAGGGAGAGAGACAACAUGUUAGCAUCACCAUGGUCUGAAGGUAGAGAUACAACAUGUUAGCAUCACCAUGGCCUGAAGGAGAGAUACAAAAUGUUAGCAUCACCAUGGUCUGAAGGGAGAGAGACAACAUGUUAGCAUCACCAUGGUCUGAAGGUAGAGAUACAACAUGUUAGCAUCACCAUGGCCUGAAGGAGAGAUACAACAUGUUAGCAUCACCAUGGUCUGAAGGGAGAGAGACAACAUGUUAGCAUCACCAUGGUCUGAAGGUAACAGUAGCAUGUUAGCAUCACCAUGGCCUGAAGGAGAGAUACAACAUGUUAGCAUCACCAUGGUCUGAAGGAGAGAGACAACAUGUUAGCAUCACCAUGGUCUGAAGGAGAGAGACAACAUGUUAGCAUCACCAUGGUCUGAAGGAGAGAUACAACAUGUUAGCAUCACCAUGGUCUGAAGGAGAGAUACAACAUGUUAGCAUCACCAUGGUCUGAAGGAGAGACACAACAUGUUAGCAUCACCAUGGUCUGAAGGUAGAGAGACAACAUGUUAGCAUCACCAUGGUCUGAAGGAGAGAUACAACAUGUUAGCAUCACCAUGGUCUGAAGGAGAGAUACAACAUGUUAGCAUCACCAUGGCCUGAAGGUAACAGUAGCAUGUUAGCAUCACCAUGGCCUGAAGGAGAGAUACAACAUGUUAGCAUCACCAUGGUCUGAAGGAGAGAUACAACAUGUUAGCAUCACCAUGGUCUGAAGGAGAGACACAACAUGUCAGCAUCACCAUGGUCUGAAGGAGAGAUACAACAUGUUAGCAUCACCCUGGCCCGAAGGGAGAGAUACAACAUGUUAGCAUCACCAUGGUCUGAAGGUAACAGCAGCACAGUAGCAUGUUAGCAUCACCAUGGCCUGAAAGUAACAACAGCACAGUAGCAUGUUAGCAUCACCAUGGCCUGAUGGUAACAACAGCACAGUAGCAUGUUAGCAUCACCAUGGCCUGAAUGUAACAGUAGCAUGUUAGCAUCACCAUGGCCUGAAGGUAACAGUAGCAUGUUAGCAUCACCAUGGUCUGAAGGUUACAGUAGCAUGUUAGCAUCACCAUGGCCUGAAGGUAACAGCAGCACAGUAGCAUGUUAGCAACAUCAGUAUUUUACCACUGUUUGCUAUAACUAGUCUAUCUCCAGGGGGUGGAAGUGGAGGCUUGUCGACCUUCGGGGUCAGAACAACGGUGUUGACCGAGUGGCAGGUUUGGUUGCUGGGCAGACGACAGGCCACACACAGCUGAACAUGCUUUGACAUGUUCGUAGAGGACUAGUGCUUGUGUGUCCUCAGUGACUCAUCUCAUCUGAGUAAAUCCAUCACAGGAUGUAGACUCUCACUCAUUCUGAAGACAAACUGAAUCUCUGAAUCUCUCUCUCUCUCUCUC
Long non-coding RNA from Oncorhynchus keta (chum salmon), 1909 nucleotides. RefSeq lists it as uncharacterized. NCBI's taxonomy places the organism in Eukaryota, Metazoa, Chordata, Actinopteri, Salmoniformes, Salmonidae. The record is from RefSeq and is a predicted model, not a curated record. The transcript has 5 exons.